This 1689-nucleotide ribosomal RNA is filed under the name Holdemania filiformis. RNAcentral's name for it is "bacterial SSU rRNA". The stretch from base 190 to 1689 matches the Rfam family "Bacterial small subunit ribosomal RNA". The record is from RNAcentral. Lineage: Bacteria; Bacillati; Bacillota; Erysipelotrichia; Erysipelotrichales; Erysipelotrichaceae.
UUAGAAACUGACAGACUAGAGUACAGGAGAGGGCAAUGGAAUUCCAUGUGUAGCGGUAAAAUGCGUAGAUAUAUGGAGGAACACCAGUGGCGAAGGCGGUUGCCUGGCCUGUAACUGACGCUCAUGCACGAAAGCGUGGGGAGCAAAUAGGAUUAGAUACCCUAGUAGUCCACGCCGUAAACGAUGAGAACUAAGUAGAGUUUGAUCCUGGCUCAGGAUGAACGCUGGCGGCGUGCCUAAUACAUGCAAGUCGAACGCUUGCUUGAGGACUUGUCUUCAAGCAGGAGUGGCGAACGGGUGAGUAAUACAUAAGCAAUCUGCCCAUCGGCCUGGGAUAACAGUUGGAAACGACUGCUAAUACCGGAUAGGUGAUCAAGAGGCAUCUCUUGAUCAUUAAAGUUGGGAUACAACACGGAUGGAUGAGCUUAUGGCGUAUUAGCUAGUAGGUGAGGUAACGGCCCACCUAGGCGAUGAUACGUAGCCGACCUGAGAGGGUGACCGGCCACAUUGGGACUGAGACACGGCCCAAACUCCUACGGGAGGCAGCAGUAGGGAAUUUUCGGCAAUGGGCGAAAGCCUGACCGAGCAACGCCGCGUGAGUGAAGAAGGCCUUCGGGUUGUAAAGCUCUGUUGUGAAGGAAGAACGGCUCAUACAGGGAAUGGUAUGGGAGUGACGGUACUUUACCAGAAAGCCACGGCUAACUACGUGCCAGCAGCCGCGGUAAUACGUAGGUGGCGAGCGUUAUCCGGAAUUAUUGGGCGUAAAGGGUGCGCAGGCGGUUUGUUAAGUUUAAGGUGAAAGCGUGGGGCUUAACCCCAUAUAGCCUUAGAAACUGACAGACUAGAGUACAGGAGAGGGCAAUGGAAUUCCAUGUGUAGCGGUAAAAUGCGUAGAUAUAUGGAGGAACACCAGUGGCGAAGGCGGUUGCCUGGCCUGUAACUGACGCUCAUGCACGAAAGCGUGGGGAGCAAAUAGGAUUAGAUACCCUAGUAGUCCACGCCGUAAACGAUGAGAACUAAGUGUUGGGGAAACUCAGUGCUGCAGUUAACGCAAUAAGUUCUCCGCCUGGGGAGUAUGCACGCAAGUGUGAAACUCAAAGGAAUUGACGGGGGCCCGCACAAGCGGUGGAGUAUGUGGUUUAAUUCGACGCAACGCGAAGAACCUUACCAGGUCUUGACAUCCCCUGCAAAGCCAUGGAGACAUAUUGGAGGUUAUCAGGGAGACAGGUGGUGCAUGGUUGUCGUCAGCUCGUGUCGUGAGAUGUUGGGUUAAGUCCCGCAACGAGCGCAACCCUUGUCUUUAGUUACUAACAUUGAGUUGAGGACUCUAGAGAGACUGCCGGUGACAAACCGGAGGAAGGUGGGGAUGACGUCAAAUCAUCAUGCCCCUUAUGACCUGGGCUACACACGUACUACAAUGGCGGAUACAACGAGAAGCAAGACAGUGAUGUGGAGCAAAACUCAGAAAGUCCGUCUCAGUUCGGAUUGAAGUCUGCAACCCGACUUCAUGAAGCCGGAAUCGCUAGUAAUCGCGGAUCAGCAUGCCGCGGUGAAUACGUUCUCGGGCCUUGUACACACCGCCCGUCAAACCAUGAGAGUUGGCAAUACCCGAAGCCGGUGGCCUAACCUCGCAAGAGGAGGGAGCCGUCGAAGGUAGGGCUGAUGAUUGGGGUUAAGUCGUAACAAGGU